GUUUAUAGCUAUUCCACCCUGAAUGCACCUGAUCUUGUCUGAUCUUGGAAACUAAGCAGGAUCGGGCCUGGUUAGCACUUGGAUGGGAGAAUCACUAAAUAAGUUAAGACAGUCGCAGAAU
RNAcentral lists this ribosomal RNA (121 nucleotides) under Prolemur simus (greater bamboo lemur). Lineage: Eukaryota; Metazoa; Chordata; Mammalia; Primates; Lemuridae. The record is from RNAcentral.